RNAcentral lists this ribosomal RNA (484 nucleotides) under uncultured bacterium. Its description in RNAcentral is "partial 16S ribosomal RNA". It matches the Rfam family "Bacterial small subunit ribosomal RNA", at positions 30 to 507 of the family's 1533-position model. The record is from RNAcentral.
AUUGAACGCUGGCGGCAUGCUUUACACAUGCAAGUCGAACGGCAGCACGGGCUUCGGCCUGGUGGCGAGUGGCGAACGGGUGAGUAAUAUAUCGGAACGUACCCAGAAGUGGGGGAUAACGUAGCGAAAGUUACGCUAAUACCGCAUACGAUCUAUGGAUGAAAGCAGGGGACCGCAAGGCCUUGUGCUCCUGGAGCGGCCGAUAUCUGAUUAGCUAGUUGGUGAGGUAAAGGCUCACCAAGGCGACGAUCAGUAGCUGGUCUGAGAGGACGACCAGCCACACUGGAACUGAGACACGGUCCAGACUCCUACGGGAGGCAGCAGUGGGGAAUUUUGGACAAAGGGCGCAAGCCUGAUCCAGCAAUGCCGCGUGAGUGAAGAAGGCCUUCGGGUUGUAAAGCUCUUUUGUCAGGGAAGAAACGGUAGAGGCCAAUAUCCUUUGCUAAUGACGGUACCUGAAGAAUAAGCACCGGCUAACUACGUG